UUUAAUUCGAAGCAACGCGCAGAACCUUACCAGCUCUUGACAUCCAAGACCGCCACAGAGACGUGGUUUUCCCUUCGGGGACUUGGAGACAGGUGCUGCAUGGCUGUCGUCAGCCCGUGUCGUGAGAUGUUGGGUUAAGUCCCGCAACGAGCGCAACCCUCGCCUCUAGUUGCCAGCAUUCCGUUGGGCACUCUAGAGGGACUGCCGGUGAUAAGCCGAGAGGAAGGUGGGGAUGACGUCAAGUCCUCAUGGCCCUUACGGGCUGGGCUACACACGUGCUACAAUGGCGGUGACAAUGGGCAGCGACUUCGCGAGGAGUAGCCAAUCCCAAAAAGCCGUCUCAGUUCGGAUUGCACUCUGCAACUCGAGUGCAUGAAGUUGGAAUCGCUAGUAAUCGCGUAACAGCAUGACC
RNAcentral lists this ribosomal RNA (412 nucleotides) under uncultured bacterium. RNAcentral describes it as "bacterial SSU rRNA". It matches the Rfam family "Bacterial small subunit ribosomal RNA", at positions 945 to 1359 of the family's 1533-position model. The record is from RNAcentral.